RNAcentral lists this ribosomal RNA (301 nucleotides) under uncultured bacterium. Its description in RNAcentral is "partial 16S ribosomal RNA". It matches the Rfam family "Bacterial small subunit ribosomal RNA", at positions 509 to 807 of the family's 1533-position model. The record is from RNAcentral.
CAGUCGCCGCGGUAAUACGGAGGGUGCAAGCGUUAAUCGGAAUUACUGGGCGUAAAGCGUGCGUAGGCGGUUUGUUAAGUCUGUUGUGAAAUCCCCGGGCUCAACCUGGGAAUGGCAAUGGAUACUGGCAAGCUAGAGUGUGUCAGAGGAUGGUGGAAUUCCCGGUGUAGCGGUGAAAUGCGUAGAGAUCGGGAGGAACAUCAGUGGCGAAGGCGGCCAUCUGGGACAACACUGACGCUGAGGCACGAAAGCGUGGGGAGCAAACAGGAUUAGAUACCCGUGUAGUCCCUGUCUCUUAUAC